UUUAAAAAAGAUCAUAGGUUAACUCAUAAUAACAUAUUUUUAACUACCACUUAAACUGGAAUCUCUUGAGGCGACUGCUUCGUUCACUAUCUUUGCAUCCUGAUCAAUAAAGAUUGCGGCACUUUCAUUGGAAGCAGAAGAAUGGCUGAAAUUACGUCUUGUCUUUCUAGUAUUCAAGGCAUACGACGAUCUGAUCAAUGAGGUGGGCACAUUUUCAAGAGUAAAUUCAGAUUCAGCGGGAAUUUCUGAAGGUUGCAGCUCCUCAAACGAAGAUCUUGGAGAUUCGACAGCAGUAUGAGAUCGGACAGAAGAAAUGGAGUCUGG
This is a non-coding RNA of Schizosaccharomyces pombe (fission yeast), 324 nucleotides long. The record is from the annotation of a GenBank genome assembly. Lineage: Eukaryota; Fungi; Ascomycota; Schizosaccharomycetes; Schizosaccharomycetales; Schizosaccharomycetaceae.